UCUCCGUCUUCACACGACUUCCUGCAGAAAAGCUUCUUCCAUCCAGAGAAGUUAAACAAGCAGCUGACUGUGACAGAUCCUCCUUCAGGUCCAGUGAACACAGACUCAGUGAGACCGUCCUGCAACAAGGAGCCUGAAACAUCAACACUCCUCCAGGUCGUUCUCAUCUCACUGAGCUUUAAUGUCACUUAAAGAAAUUCACAGAGACGACUUCUUUUCGUUCAUUUCCUGUUUUGUUUCAGGUUGAAUCGACGUCUGGGGACAAAUAAAAGUCUAAAUACGACUUAAAGAAAUUUAUAUAAAAUCAAAUAAAUAGAUUGAAUGAUUGUUUCAGGAAAAUAUGAAAUGAAACAAAUAAUAAUUGUAUCACACAAAUUAAAGAAACUGAA
Long non-coding RNA from Pleuronectes platessa (European plaice), 389 nucleotides. RefSeq lists it as uncharacterized. The record is from RefSeq and is a predicted model, not a curated record. NCBI's taxonomy places the organism in Eukaryota, Metazoa, Chordata, Actinopteri, Pleuronectiformes, Pleuronectidae. The transcript has 3 exons.